GUGGGAAAUCUGCCCAGAAGCAGGGGAUAACACUUGGAAACAGGUGCUAAUACCGUAUAACAACAAAAUCCGCAUGGAUUUUGUUUGAAAGGUGGCUUCGGCUAUCACUUCUGGAUGAUCCCGCGGCGUAUUAGUUAGUUGGUGAGGUAAAGGCCCACCAAGACGAUGAUACGUAGCCGACCUGAGAGGGUAAUCGGCCACAUUGGGACUGAGACACGGCCCAAACUCCUACGGGAGGCAGCAGUAGGGAAUCUUCCACAAUGGACGAAAGUCUGAUGGAGCAAUGCCGCGUGAGUGAAGAAGGGUUUCGGCUCGUAAAACUCUGUUGUUAAAGAAGAACACCUUUGAGAGUAACUGUUCAAGGGUUGACGGUAUUUAACCAGAAAGCCACGGCUAACUACGUGCCAGCAGCCGCGGUAAUACGUAGGUGGCAAGCGUUGUCCGGAUUUAUUGGGCGUAAAGCGAGCGCAGGCGGUUUUUUAAGUCUGAUGUGAAAGCCUUCGGCUUAACCGGAGAAGUGCAUCGGAAACUGGGAGACUUGAGUGCAGAAGAGGACAGUGGAACUCCCAUGUGUAGCGGUGGAAUGCGUAGAUAUAUGGAAGAACACCAGUGGCGAAGGCGGCUGUCUAGUCUGUAACUGACGCUGAGGCUCGAAAGCAUGGGUAGCGAACAGGAUUAGAUACCCUGGUAGUCCAUGCCGUAAACGAUGAGUGCUAAGUGUUGGAGGGUUUCCGCCCUUCAGUGCUGCAGCUAACGCAUUAAGCACUCCGCCUGGGGAGUACGACCGCAAGGUUGAAACUCAAAGGAAUUGACGGGGGCCCGCACAAGCGGUGGAGCAUGUGGUUUAAUUCGAAGCUACGCGAAGAACCUUACCAGGUCUUGACAUCUUCUGCCAAUCUUAGAGAUAAGACGUUCCCUUCGGGGACAGAAUGACAGGUGGUGCAUGGUUGUCGUCAGCUCGUGUCGUGAGAUGUUGGGUUAAGUCCCGCAACGAGCGCAACCCUUAUUAUCAGUUGCCAGCAUUCAGUUGGGCACUCUGGUGAGACUGCCGGUGACAAACCGGAGGAAGGUGGGGAUGACGUCAAAUCAUCAUGCCCCUUAUGACCUGGGCUACACACGUGCUACAAUGGACGGUACAACGAGUCGCGAAGUCGUGAGGCUAAGCUAAUCUCUUAAAGCCGUUCUCAGUUCGGAUUGUAGGCUGCAACUCGCCUACAUGAAGUUGGAAUCGCUAGUAAUCGCGGAUCAGCAUGCCGCGGUGAAUACGUUC
RNAcentral lists this ribosomal RNA (1270 nucleotides) under Levilactobacillus brevis. RNAcentral's name for it is "bacterial SSU rRNA". It matches the Rfam family "Bacterial small subunit ribosomal RNA", at positions 117 to 1373 of the family's 1533-position model. The record is from RNAcentral. Lineage: Bacteria; Bacillati; Bacillota; Bacilli; Lactobacillales; Lactobacillaceae.